This 403-nucleotide ribosomal RNA is filed under the name uncultured bacterium. RNAcentral's name for it is "bacterial SSU rRNA". It matches the Rfam family "Bacterial small subunit ribosomal RNA", at positions 355 to 774 of the family's 1533-position model. The record is from RNAcentral.
UGAGGGAUAUUGGUCAAUGGGCGCAAGCCUGAACCAGCGACGCCGCGUGGGUGAAGAAGGUCUUCGGAUCGUAAAGCCCUUUUCCCACUGAAGAGGAAGGACGGUAGGUGGGGAAGAAGUCUCGGCUAACUACGUGCCAGCAGCCGCGGUAAAACGUAGGAGACAAGCGUUAUCCGGAGUUACUGGGCGUAAAGGGCGUGCAGGUGGCGUCUUAAGUCUGUUGUGAAAGCGCCUGGCUUAACCGGGCGAGGCCAAUGGAGACUGAGAGGCUGGAGGACGGCGGAGNGGUGUGGAAUUCCGGGUGUAGUGGUGAAAUGCGUAGAGAUCCGGAGGAACACCAGAGGCGAAGGCGGCACUCUAAGCCGUACCUGACACUGAGACGCGACAGCACGGGGAGCAAACG